AGCGAACGCUGGCGGCGCGCCUAAUACAUGCAAGUCGAGCGAGAAGACGUAGCAAUACGUUUGUAAAGCGGCGAACGGGUGAGGAAUACAUGGGGUAACCUACCCUCGAGUGGGGAAUAACUAGCCGAAAGGUUAGCUAAUACCGCAUACGACUCCUGGUCUGCGGAUCGGGAGGGAAAGCGAUACCGUGGGUAUCGCGCUCUUGGAUGGGCUCAUGUCCUAUCAGCUUGUUGGUGAGGUAAUGGCUCACCAAGGCUUCGACGGGUAGCUGGUCUGAGAGGACGAUCAGCCACACUGGCACUGCGACACGGGCCAGACUCCUACGGGAGGCAGCAGUAAGGAAUAUUGCGCAAUGGGCGACAGCCUGACGCAGCGACGCCGCGUGGGGAUGAAGGUCUUCGGAUUGUAAACCCCUUUACGGCAGGGAAGAUGGAACGGGUAACCGUUCGGACGGUAC
Molecule: ribosomal RNA, 457 nt
Filed under: uncultured bacterium
Lineage: Bacteria
Description: bacterial SSU rRNA
Rfam family: Bacterial small subunit ribosomal RNA
Source: RNAcentral